AUCCAGGGAUUCCAUCUAGGUAUCCCAUGUGGGUGGCAGGGGCUCAAGUACUUGAGCCAUCAUCUGUUGCCUCCUAUGGUAUACAUUAGCAGAAGCUUGAUCAUAAGUGGAGGCAGAGAGGCCAGCAUUGUUGUGUAGCAGGUAAAGCCACUGCCUGAGAUGCCAGCCUCCCUUAAGGGCACUGGUUCAUGACCUGGCUGCUCCAUUUCUGAUCCAACUCACUGCUAAUUGCCUGGGAAAAGCAACAGAAGAUGGCCCAAGUGUUUGGGCCCCUGAUACCCAUGUGGGAAACCUGGAUGAAACUCAUGGUACCCAGCUUUGGACUGACUCAACCCCAGUGAUGCCAGUUACUGCAGUCAUCUGGGGGAGUGAACCGGUGGAUGAAAGAUCUGUCUAUGUUUUUCAUUCUCUCUCUGCAACUCUGACUUUUGAAUAAAUAAAUAAAUCUUAAAAAAUAAGUGGAGGCAGGAAUGUAACCCAGGCACUCUGAUAUGGGAUGUAGGCAUCCCAAGUGGUUUUAAUGCUGCGCCAAACACCCACUUCAGAACUCUUUUUAAAAGAUUGUUGAGUUUUUUUUUUAAUGCAAGUGUGACCUUUUCUUUUUAAAGGAAAUUCAAGAGAGAAUGAGAGUUUUGGAACUGUAUGCCAAUGAUCCUGAGUUUGCAGCUUUUGUAAGAGAGCAUCAAAUGGAAGAGCUUUAACCACAACUCCUAUGAUUAGAAGCCUGGAGAAGAUGGAGAUCACUUGCUACCUAUGUCAUAUGAUUAAUCUGGAUUUUAAACCCUGUUGGAAGAAGAGUUUUUUUCCCUUAAUUAUUAAAAUUUAAGUGUGGGGCACUCAAUUUUUUACAGCUUAAAUUUUCAGAAUGUAGUAACAGGCAUGACCAUUUUUAUUUAUAUAAAUCCAAAAUCUGGUUUAAAGAAAUUCAAAACUGCAUGAGUAGAAAAAGACUGAGGAUUCCACGAUGGCUGAAUAGAGAAAAAGAUGUACUGCUUUAGGUGGGAAAAUAGCAGAAAAAAAGCCAAGGAAGUACAUUCCCAGGGGAGAGUUGGAGAGAAGGCUGAGUGGAAAUUCUACAGAGGGAAGAGGGACUCUGUGGAGCAGCGUGGAAGGUGACAACGUGCAGCAGCGAGUGCAGAUACCACACAUGAUCUUGCAGCUGGGAACCAGAGGACAUGCCAGCUUUGGAGAGCGAGGUGAGAGCAUACUGUGGUAGACUAUGCCAUUGGUGAUACUGCCUGAGGGAGAGCCUUAUGGACCAUGCUAUCUUUGAGUCUGGCCUGGAGCCCUAUCAGGGGCAGGGUACCCACCUAAUCCAGCGAAAGAAAAGCAUAUUUCUUUCUUCCCACUCCCCAACAAGGGCAACUGGCAACUGGCAGGGAGAAGGUGACAUUUUGACACAAGUAGAGGCUGUAGUAGCUCUUGUACAUGGGAAUGAUUAGGGGUUUUUUACCAAAGGGAAAAAUCCACAUUCCCCCUUGACUUUGAUUCUGGCUGGGAGGAUUGACAGGGGACCGGGCAUCCAAGUAGGACAGUGAGGUGCCCCAGCAUCUCACCAAAUCACAGGCUCCAGGGCUCAAACUGCCAAGGCAGAACACCCAUAGGCAGUGGGCUCUGGAAACAUCUCUGCUGUCUCUGUGGGUGGAGCAGGCUAGCAGGACAGAGCAGAUCUUCUGCAUCCUGUGACUGUGGGAAUCCUGUGGUUGCAUGAUAGAGUGUGGGAUGUAGCUGGGUCUGUAGGCAAUCAGUGUGCCUGGUGUCAGCAGAUCAGAACUCCCUGACUAUUUGGGAUGGGCCAUUGCUGAGGGUUCCAUGCUCACACUGAGGACUGCAUGGAUCCUUUGUGUGGUUUAUGUGGCAGCACAGGUGAGAGUUACACCCACUGUGGGCUAACCCCAGGUAUUGAUCACCUGGGAAGAGAAGAGUUGAGGGUGUGAUUACUGCAACAGAGGUGACUGUCAUUUUGACUGAAAGUGAAAGUUUUCCUCUUUGUUUCUAAUUUUUUCUUAGUAGGUAGCUUUCGAGGGAGCCAAGAAAAAGUCAAAUAAUCAUCACUAUUAAUAUUAAAUUGCAUAUGGAAUAUGUUAUUUUUAACACAAGUAUUUAUGUCAGAUGUAUUUGUGGUUUCUAAAAGCAAUCUUGAACAUUUUGACUUGUUUCCGACCAGAUAUAUCUAACCAGGGAUAGCUAGAGGUUAGCCAUAAGAAAAAAAUACUUUGUUCACUACUUUUUUCCUCAAGUUAAUGACUGCCAAUUUCACUCAUUAUGAUGACCCUAGGAUUUAAAUGUCUGGGCUUGGUACAGGCCACAUUAAAGAUAGGGAAAACCUUGAAGACAUCUAGGCAUCAUUCAUCAAGCUACAUGUGAAUAAAAUUUUUUGGUGUGUGUGUGUGUAUAGGUAGCUUCAUAUCUCAGUAUUCCCUUUUAUACCCUACACACAUAAUGAAUUCUCUAUAAGUUUAGCAUAGUCAAGCCCCUGUAGGAACAUUUUCUACUGGCCCAUUGGAAAAGUAAUGAUAAUUAUCAUUAGAGCAUGAAAAAUGUCAAUGAUGUUUGUCACUACUAAAUGCAUGCUUUUAUUUGUAAAACUUUCAAAGAUUUCUGUUUAAGAUUUUAAACUUUUUUCCUAAACUCAUUUGUGUUGGACAAAAAUGCCUUUCGUCUCAAAUUAACUCUAGAAUGCAACCUUCUGAAUGUAGGCUAGAGGUACAUAAAGGUUGUCUAGAGAAGAUCUCCAUUUGGGACACUUAGGAGACACAUGAGCUGGGGCAUAGGAUUGUUCUCCAUGAGCCAAGCAGUGAAGUAGGAAUUUGGAAAUUCUGCCACAUGUCACCAUCUCUGAUUUCCUUUUGCAUGACCUUUUCAUGCAAGAGCAAAUUACUUAGCUCUACAUGAAUAUCUGCUUCAUACAAAUGAAAUGUUAAGAGUGGGAACUCCUAAGCUAUCAGGGAAAGAACAGGUGGCCACAGUUCAGUAUUAGAGUCUCCUUGAAGAAUGCAGUUAAGAUCCACUUAUGUGCAAAUAAAGGGCCAGUGGAGCUAUCAGUAAGAUAGGGAAACUAUCUCUACAGAACUUUUAAAAAGAGAUUUCCCAGGGAGGAGGAAAAAGGGUUGGAGCAUGGAUGGAAGGGAGGAAAGUAUCACUAUGUUCCUAAAUCUGUAUAUAUGAAAUACAUGAAGUGUGUACAACUUAAAUAAAAUUAGAAAAAAAAAAAGAAAUCCAAAAACAAAAAAAGGAGCUUUCCAUAAGGUCAUUUAAUGAUAUGUAUUCAUUGGAAAGUACUAAAUUAAUUUAGGCUGCAUAAGAAAUGAAAUGUUCUGAAGAUUAGAAAAGUCUCACUAACCUAGCAAUAUAAUAUUCAAUGAGGCUAUCACUUCAUUUGAAAAAGUUAAGGCAUAGUUAGUAUUUAAAGUGUGUGGUAAAUAACUUUUUUUUUUUUACUUAUAAGGUACUGUGAAGAUUAUUUUUUAAUGUGUUCUGGGGAAUUUAUUUGCUAAACAGGGUUCUGUUUCCACUACUGCAGUAUUUUAGGGUAUUUUUUUCACACUUAUGUGGCCUAAAGUCCCAUUUAUUUUACAUAAUAAACGAAGUGAAAAUUUUUUCUGAUUUUAUUCUAAUUCUUGCCUCUAUUUUAAAUUCUGCAGUAUCUGGUCACCUAGAUUAAAUCUCUAAGCACCCCCCCCCUUUUUUUUCUUUGCCAUACAGUGAAUUGUAAUGUAGUUGAACCACCUUGGUAUUGCUCCUGACAAAAUGAUGGAAAAUGCACAAAUAUUCUUUGUAGACUCUAAAAUUUUUUGACUUAAAAAUAAUGCCUGAACUAGUUAAAGAUUUGCAAGCUUGUUUUAUAAGUUUGCCUUCCAUUUCAUGAUUUUUAGGCAGCUGGUAUUUUUGGGUCAUGUCCAUGUUUUCAACAAUGGGUAUUUUGACAUCUGUGUGUCCUUGAAUUGAAUUUCCAUUUUGCAAUGGGAAGAGAAGACAGCAUAUUUAUUUAAUAAGGAAACAGCUGAUUUAGGAGAAUAACUUAUCUUUAUUAAAUUGAGAUGUUUUAGCCAAGAAAAAUAUGGGUCAAUUUUUUUAAUGUUUCUAACAAUUCCCAGUAGAAAUGGGUGGAGCUGUGCUUCCUUAUUUACAGUUCAGCUGCAAUGAGUCAAGAUUCUAGCUCUUUCUUUUCCCAAGAGUGAAUUAACACCGAAAAAUGAUGAGAAGGUCACAAUCCUGGAGUUGAUUCCAGUGUUUUCCACAAAGGCCCCGGCUGGAGGUAGGGAGAUGGGAGGGUAUCAUAACGUAAUGAUGAUAUAAAGAAUUUGCCUGGAAAUUUCCUUGACUCACAUAUUUUGUAAAACAUUACAUCACUUCUGUGAGUUAAUAGGAGACAGGUUAAACCACUCCCCUGAAUUGCAGUUAUUGCUACAGUCUAGAUUAAAUGAUUGUUCAUCCUUUUAAAAAUUUUCUCAUUUAUUUGUUUUAUUUUUAGAGAUUAUGAGAAUAUAUAGGGGUAAAUGGUUAUAUCACAGAAUACAGACAUGAUUAUUUAUAUAUCAGAAUUAUGUGACGAUUCUUGAGCCAUAGUGUAUACACCAUAAUAUUUGUUCAUUGUGGAGCAUGUAUAAUGAAAGACUUCCAUUUUUAAUAUUGUUUAUAAUGAAAUUUUAUCCAAGGUGGGGAUCAAAUAAAUUUAUGUUACUGUA
Non-coding RNA from Oryctolagus cuniculus (rabbit), 4688 nucleotides. The record is from RefSeq and is a predicted model, not a curated record. Lineage: Eukaryota; Metazoa; Chordata; Mammalia; Lagomorpha; Leporidae.